UCUGCGUCAUCUCUUCCAUUUUAAUCUCACAAGUCGAGUGCAGACUGCAGAAGCUUCGUUAGCACUUCCAUGGCGUCUUCUCUCUCUAGAAAACUAUCCGCUGCCAUUCUCUCGAAGCACAGACCACUCUCGAACACAUCUCUCUCUUUCUGCACCAAAAGUCUCUCCUCCCCAGAAUCCGUUUCCGAUUCCGACUCACCACCCGAUUCUCCCCCUCCAAACCAGCAGCGCACCAAUACCGAUCGACCCCUCGAAAACGGCUUGGACCUCGGCAUUUACAAGGCGAUAUUGGUAGGGCAGGUUGGGCAGGCGCCGAUUCAAAAGCGGCUGAAAAGCGGGAAAAUAGUAACCCUAAUUUCGCUCGGCACGGGUGGCAUUCGCAACAAUCGGAGGCCGUUGGACAACGAGGAGCCGCGUGAUUACGCCAAUCGCUGCGCGGUGCAGUGGCACAGGAUUUCUGUGUAUCCUGAGAAAUUGGGCGAACUCGCCGCGAAGAAUCUCGUCCCCGGUUCUACAUUGUACGUGGAAGGGAAUCUCGAGACUAAAAUAUUCAAUGAUCCGAUAACUGGACUCGUCCGUCGAAUCAGAGAGAUUGCUGUACGUCGGAAUGGGAGGAUUCUGGUUCUAGGAAACGGAGCUGAAGCGGCGCAGUUUUCAAGGAAUGAUAUGGCUGGGGUUGGAUAUUACUGAGGAAUCAGGUAUUGAUGAUUUUCCCGUGGUAAGGCCACAUUAACCGACAAACUAGUGCUGUGCUUAUCUGGGGAGCCAAAUUCAGUAGGCUGCAGUUAUAGAAAUGUUGUUAAGUUGUCAGGCCAAAUCCAAAUGGGAACAAAGGAUCAUAAUGUGGAUCGCCUACAUUCAUGGGGAGCUGGUCGACUGAUUUGAACCAAGUCCUAGGAAGUUUUCCAGUGAAACCAUAUUGACCAAAUAGGACAUCAG
Salvia splendens (bonfire salvia) is the source of this 939-nucleotide RNA transcript. It is a transcript of the gene named single-stranded DNA-binding protein, mitochondrial, with no coding region annotated. NCBI's taxonomy places the organism in Eukaryota, Viridiplantae, Streptophyta, Magnoliopsida, Lamiales, Lamiaceae. The transcript has 3 exons. The record is from RefSeq and is a predicted model, not a curated record.